RNAcentral lists this ribosomal RNA (440 nucleotides) under uncultured bacterium. RNAcentral's name for it is "partial 16S ribosomal RNA". It matches the Rfam family "Bacterial small subunit ribosomal RNA", at positions 338 to 795 of the family's 1533-position model. The record is from RNAcentral.
CCUACGGGAGGCAGCAGUGGGGAAUAUUGGACAAUGGGGGAAACCCUGAUCCAGCGACGCCGCGUGAGUGAAGAAGUAUUUCGGUACGUAAAGCUCUAUCAGCAGGAAAGAAAAUGACGGUACCUGACUAAGAAGCCCCGGCUAACUACGUGCCAGCAGCCGCGGUAAUACGUAGGGGGCAAGGGUUAUCCGGAUUUACUGGGUGGAAAGGGGUCGUAGACGGCAGCGACAGUCUGGAGUGCAAUGCCGGGGCACAACCCCGGAACUGCUCUGGAAACGGUGAAGCUGGAGGGCAGGAGAGGUAAGCGGAAUGCCUGGUGUAGCGGUGAAAUGCGUAGAGAUCAGGAGGAACACCGGCGGCGAAGGCGGCUUACUGGACUGUAACUGACGUUGAGGCUCGAAGGCGUGGGGAGCAAACAGGAUUAGAUACCCGUGUAGUC